This 804-nucleotide ribosomal RNA is filed under the name uncultured bacterium. RNAcentral's name for it is "bacterial SSU rRNA". It matches the Rfam family "Bacterial small subunit ribosomal RNA", at positions 8 to 796 of the family's 1533-position model. The record is from RNAcentral.
AGAGUUUGAUCCUGGCUCAGAACGAACGCUGGCGGUGUGCUUAACACAUGCAAGUCGAACGGGACAUUUCAUGUAGCAAUACAUGAGGUGUUUAGUGGCGGACGGGUGAGUAACGCGUAGGCGACCUGCCCUGAAGAGUGGGAUAACUAGGGGAAACUCUGGCUAAUACCGCAUAAGACCACGGAUUUGGAAAUUUGCGGUCAAAGGAGGCAACUCCGCUUCGGGAUGGGCCUGCGUCCUAUCAGCUAGUUGGUGAGGUAGUGGCUCACCAAGGCUUAGACGGGUAGCCGGACUGAGAGGUUGAACGGCCACACUGGAACUGAGACACGGUCCAGACUCCUACGGGAGGCAGCAGUGGGGAAUUUUGCGCAAUGGACGAAAGUCUGACGCAGCAACGCCGCGUGGGUGAUGAAGGUCUUCGGACUGUAAAACCCUGUCGUCAGGGACGAAGGUUGAGGGGUUAAUAACCCUUCAGCUUGACGGUACCUGGAGAGGAAGCCCCGGCUAACCCUGUGCCAGCAGCCGCGGUAAUACAGAGGGGGCAAGCGUUAUUCGGAAUUAUUGGGCGUAAAGGGCGCGUAGGCGGUUUUUUAAGUCAGAUGUGUAAUCCCCGAGCUCAACUUGGGAACUGCAUCUGAGACUGGAAGGCUAGAGUACUGGAGAGGGUGGUGGAAUUCCUCGUGUAGCGGUGAAAUGCGUAGAGAUGAGGAGGAACACCAGUGGCGAAGGCGGCCACCUGGACAGUAACUGACGCUGAGGCGCGAAAGUGUGGGUAGCAAACAGGAUUAGAUACCCUGGUAGUCC